Molecule: ribosomal RNA, 444 nt
Filed under: Triticum aestivum (bread wheat)
Lineage: Eukaryota; Viridiplantae; Streptophyta; Magnoliopsida; Poales; Poaceae
Description: partial small subunit ribosomal RNA
Source: RNAcentral
AUGAUUUUUUUUCCUCCUUUUUCCUAUAUUCAAUCUCAACACAAACAGCACAACGAGAACCAGAAACAUACCUGGAAGAAACAGGUGAAACAAUUUUCAAACCCAGUCGGGCGCGCGCUAGAAAGAAAGAACCGCGCGGGAAAAAAGCAUCGCGACCCAAAAAGCCUGCGAACGAAGUCCCCUCAUCUGGAUCCGCCGCCUCCCUGCUGCCGGACCGCAUCGUCCACCGCGUCUCCCACCCCCGUCUGGAUCCGCUGCCAGCCCGCAUCCUCCGCCGAGUCGUGCCUCCGUCUUCACCGCACCCCGGCCUUCCUCCUCUCCGCCGCGCCCUCCUCUCCGCGUUAUUCGAGUCCUCCACGCGCGGUUUGCCAAUGGAGAGGCCCAGGCUGCCGUGCUCUGGGCCUGCGCCAGCCAGCUCGAGCGCGCGCUGCACACCGCGACUAG